GACGAACCGUGCAAACGUUAUUCGGAAUCACUGGGCUUAAAGGGCGCGUAGGCGGGCGGUCAAGUCAGGGGUGAAAGCCCCCAGCUCAACUGGGGAAGUGCCUUUGAUACUGGCCAUCUUGAGGGAGGUAGGGGCGUGCGGAACUUCCGGUGGAGCGGUGAAAUGCGUAGAUAUCGGAAGGAACACCGGUGGCGAAGGCGGAUCUCUGGGCCAUUACUGACGCUGAGGAGCGAAAGCGUGGGGAGCGAACAGG
RNAcentral lists this ribosomal RNA (253 nucleotides) under uncultured bacterium. Its description in RNAcentral is "partial 16S ribosomal RNA". It matches the Rfam family "Bacterial small subunit ribosomal RNA", at positions 524 to 776 of the family's 1533-position model. The record is from RNAcentral.